AGGCAGGAGAUGGGGGCAUGAGGACAGAGGGACAGAACACUGAAAGGAGCCUUGCUGUGACGUCUGGGGCAACUCAGAAAGACAGAGGAGCAGAGGCAGAACUGCGAAACACAAACCCAGCAGCCAGCCAAGAGAGACCAGGGAGAGGCCCUGCGUGCUUCAUGCCCACUAUCCUGAUGCCACCAAAGGGACAUGGGCUACACUUUUUUCAGGGAAUAUCAAUUUCUCCAGUCUGAACCCAAAAAUGGUGCCUUGCUCUCCCACAAUAGCAUCCAGUGUAACUCAAGAAAAGGUUGCCUUUCUGUGGUCAUGAACUGCUCCCAGAACUGAAGCACCAGGGCCCCUGGGAUUAGAACUGGCAAAAACUACACUCAGAAGCAAAUUAAAAUAAGGUCCUGUAAACUUGGA
This is a long non-coding RNA of Suricata suricatta (meerkat), 408 nucleotides long. RefSeq lists it as uncharacterized. The transcript has 2 exons. Lineage: Eukaryota; Metazoa; Chordata; Mammalia; Carnivora; Herpestidae. The record is from RefSeq and is a predicted model, not a curated record.